RNAcentral lists this ribosomal RNA (348 nucleotides) under uncultured bacterium. RNAcentral's name for it is "bacterial SSU rRNA". It matches the Rfam family "Bacterial small subunit ribosomal RNA", at positions 8 to 353 of the family's 1533-position model. The record is from RNAcentral.
AGAGUUUGAUCCUGGCUCAGAUUGAACGCUGGCGGCAUGCUUUACACAUGCAAGUCGAACGGCAGCACAGGGAGCUUGCUCCCGGGUGGCGAGUGGCGCACGGGUGAGUAAUACAUCGGAACGUGUCCUGUUNUGGGGGAUAACUGCUCGAAAGGGUGGCUAAUACCGCAUGAGACCUGAGGGUGAAAGCGGGGGAUCGCAAGACCUCGCGCAAUUGGAGCGGCCGAUGCCCGAUUAGCUAGUUGGUGAGGUAAAGGCUCACCAAGGCGACGAUCGGUAGCUGGUCUGAGAGGACGACCAGCCCACACUGGGACUGGGACACGGCCCAGACUCCUACGGGAGGCAGCA